UGAGUACGAGAUGCUACGGCAUCGAAGCAGUCUAUGUCAUACUUCCAAGAAAAGCUUGCACUGUCAUAAACAAAGAAUGCCUGUACCAUAACCGACACAGGUGGGUAGGUAGAGUAUACUAAGGGGCGCGAGAUAACUCUCUCUAAGGAACUCGGCAAAAUGACUCCGUAACUUCGGGAGAAGGAGUGCCUUAUUUCUAAGGUUGCAAUAACAAGAUCCAAGCAACUGUUUACCAAAAACACAGGUCUCCGCUAAGUCGUAAGACGAUGUAUGGGGGCUGACGCCUGCCCAGUGCCAGAAGGUUAAAGAAGUUGGUUAGCAUUAGCGAAGCUGAUAACUGAAGCCCUGGUGAACGGCGGCCGUAACGAUAACGGUCCUAAGGUAGCGAAAUUCCUUGUCGGGUAAGUUCCGACCCGCACGAAAGGCGUAAUGAUUUGGAUACUGUCUCGGAGAGGGGCUCGGUGAAAUAGACUUGUCUGUGAAGAUGCGGACUACCUGCACCUGGACAGAAAGACCCUAUGAAGCUUUACUGUAACUUGAGAUUGAAAUUGGACUUUAUUUGCGCAGUAUAGGUGGGAGGCGUUGAGAAUAAUCUUGCGGGAUUGUUGGAGCCAUCAGUGAGAUACCACUCUUGUAAUGUUAGAUUUCUAACUUUGUAUCAUUAUCUGGUCAAAGAACAGUUUCAGGCGGGCAGUUUGACUGGGGCGGUCGCCUCCCAAAGGGUAACGGAGGCGCACAAAGGUUUCCUCUGAACGGGUAGAAAUCGUAUCUAGAGUGUAAAGGCAUAAGGAAGCUUGACUGUGAGACCUACAAGUCGAGCAGGGACGAAAGUCGGUCUUAGUGAUCUGACGGUGCUGAGUGGAAAGGCCGUCACUCAACGGAUAAAAGUUACUCUAAGGAUAACAGGCUGAUCUCCCCCAAGAGUUCACAUCGACGGGGAGGUUUGGCACCUCGAUGUCGGCUCAUCGCAUCCUGGGGCGGUAGUCCGUCCCAAGGGUUGGGCUGUUCGCCCAUGAAAGCGGUACGCGAGCUGGGUUCAGAACGUCGUGAGACAGUUCGGUCCAUAUCCGGUGUAGGCGUUAGAAUAUUGAGAGGAGCCUUCUCUAGUACGAGAGGACCGAGAAGGACAUACCUCUGGUGUACCAGUUAUCGUGCCAACGGUAAACGCUGGGUAGCUAUGUAUGGAGUGGAUAACCGCUGAAAGCAUCUAAGUGGGAAGCCCACCUCAAGAUAAGUAUUCUCA
This 1243-nucleotide ribosomal RNA is filed under the name metagenome. RNAcentral describes it as "bacterial LSU rRNA". It matches the Rfam family "Bacterial large subunit ribosomal RNA", at positions 1564 to 2816 of the family's 2925-position model. The record is from RNAcentral.